RNAcentral lists this ribosomal RNA (253 nucleotides) under uncultured bacterium. Its description in RNAcentral is "partial 16S ribosomal RNA". It matches the Rfam family "Bacterial small subunit ribosomal RNA", at positions 524 to 776 of the family's 1533-position model. The record is from RNAcentral.
UACGUAGGGGGCAAGCGUUGUCCGGAUUUAUUGGGCGUAAAGAGCGUGUAGGCGGCCAUACAGGUCCGUUGUGAAAACUCGAGGCUUAACCUCGAGACGUCGAUGGAAACCGUAUGGCUAGAGUCCGGAAGAGGAGAGUGGAAUUCCUGGUGUAGCGGUGAAAUGCGCAGAUAUCAGGAAGAACACCCGUGGCGAAGGCGGUUCUCUGGGACGGUACUGACGCUGAGACGCGAAAGCGUGGGGAGCGAACAGG